ACCCAUCACGUCUCAGCCUUUGGGUUGAUGC
This 31-nucleotide non-coding RNA is filed under the name Mus musculus (house mouse). The record is from RNAcentral. Lineage: Eukaryota; Metazoa; Chordata; Mammalia; Rodentia; Muridae.